UGGGUGAAAGAAAACCAGCAAGUGGGUCCAAAGGAAUUGCAGAAGAACAUCAAAGAUAAGUUCAAGAUAGAUUUACCAUACAUGAGGUUGUUCAAUGGUAAACAACAUGCUAUGGAUUCUAUUUAUGGUAACUGGCAGGAAAGUUUUCAAUUGUUGUAUUCAUUCAAAGGUGAAGUGGAGAGGACAAGCCCAGGUAGUAUUGUAGAUAUUGAUCACCACACCGUGGAGUACACAUUCAGGGGAGUGACAAAGACCAAGGAAUGUUUUAGAAGUGUUUUUGUCUGCUUUGAGGCUUGUCGCCGGGGUUUUUUGGCAGGCUGCAGGCCUUAUUUGGCUAUUGAUGCCACUUUUCUCACAGGAAGGUUUAAAGGACAGUUAGUAGCAGCUUGUGCAGUUGAUGCACAUAGUUUUGUAUUUCCAGUUGCCUAUGGUGUGCUAGAGACAGAGUCUGAGGAGAGCUGGACUUGGUUUUUGCAUAAUCUCCGCCGGGCUAUUGCACAUCCCAAUGGGUUGGUCAUUCAUACAGAUGCCUGCAAAGGUUUAGAAGUGGCCGUGGACAAUGUGUUCCCUGGAGUAGAGCAUAGGGAAUGCAUGCGUCACCUUGCUGCAAAUUUCAUGAAGAAAUUCAAAGGAAAGGUGUAUACCGACAAUUUAUGGCCAGCAUCUUUGACAUGCAGUGUGAAGAAGCACAACUACCACUUGAGGCAGUUAUACAUGAAUCCCAAAGUGAAAGAAUACUUGGAAACACACCACUCCAAGUUAUGGGCCAGAAGCCAAUUCAGUGAAGUGAGCAAAGUUGACUAUGUGCACAAUAAUCUAGCAGAGUCUUUCAACUCAACGAUCCGGAAACUAAAG
RNAcentral lists this ribosomal RNA (855 nucleotides) under Triticum aestivum (bread wheat). RNAcentral's name for it is "partial small subunit ribosomal RNA". The record is from RNAcentral. Lineage: Eukaryota; Viridiplantae; Streptophyta; Magnoliopsida; Poales; Poaceae.